GUGAGCCUACGGGGGGCAGCAGUGAGGAAUAUUGGUCAAUGGGCGGAAGCCUGAACCAGCCAAGUCGCGUGAGGGAUUAAGGCCCUAUGGGUCGUAAACCUUUUUUGUCAGGGAGCAAGGCCUCUCACGUGUGGGAGGUUGGAGAGUACCUGAAGAAAAAGCAUCGGCUAACUCCGUGCCAGCAGCCGCGGUAAUACGGAGGAUGCGAGCGUUAUCCGGAUUUAUUGGGUUUAAAGGGUGCGUAGGCGGGUCCUUACGUCAGCGGUAACAUUGCGGUGCUCAUCGCCGUAGAGCCGUUGAAACUG
RNAcentral lists this ribosomal RNA (305 nucleotides) under uncultured bacterium. Its description in RNAcentral is "bacterial SSU rRNA". It matches the Rfam family "Bacterial small subunit ribosomal RNA", at positions 333 to 635 of the family's 1533-position model. The record is from RNAcentral.